UCCGUAGAUUUUGGUUUCCAGAAGCCACC
This 29-nucleotide small RNA is filed under the name Bombyx mori (domestic silkworm). Its description in RNAcentral is "ovarian small RNA-27580". The record is from RNAcentral. Lineage: Eukaryota; Metazoa; Arthropoda; Insecta; Lepidoptera; Bombycidae.